UUGUAUUCGCGGCGUCGAUCGAUCAUCCAGGUGAGUUGAGGAAUUAGUGAGCAGUCUUCAACUAUGGAUCAACAAUCAAGAAUGUCUCCUCUCAUUCUGGUGGAGACGAGUGCGGCCCAAGGCACUGAAUGCGCUCACCAAGUCGAUGCUAGAAGGUGCGGCAGGAUUUUUCCUGUUGCAGGUACGGCCGGAAAAAUCCUGCCGCCAUUUUGGUGCGACCAAAAACGUAAAUGUUUUUUAAGUAACAUUCAGGACAAUUUGAGCUUGUUUUGAAAUCGAUUUUUAGAAAAAUGUAUUUUCAGAAUUUGUCGAAGAUUUUCUGAAAGUUCUCGACUAUUACGCAAGAACGUUGUAAGGGUUGAGAAUGCCUUUAGGAUCCAAGAGCUUCUUCAUGUUCUUCAUCAAUUGCAC
This 411-nucleotide long non-coding RNA is filed under the name Selaginella moellendorffii. RNAcentral's name for it is "long non-coding RNA (SMOE_LNC002241)". Lineage: Eukaryota; Viridiplantae; Streptophyta; Lycopodiopsida; Selaginellales; Selaginellaceae. The record is from RNAcentral.